CACUAAGUUGCUUAGGGCCUUGCUAGGUUACUAAAGUUGGCCUUGAAUUUGCAACCCCCCUGCCUCAGCCUCCCAAAUUGCUGGGAUUACAGGUGUGCACCACCAUGACCCAUAAUGUCUUUGAUGCACAAUUUUAAAAAGUUUUUUUUUUAAUCGAGUCCAAUUUGUUUUUCCUUUGAUCAUUGGUUUUCUCCUUCUUAAAAAAAAAAAAAAACUUAAUUUUUCAAAUUUAGCAAGUGAUGAACAAAUUAAUUCCUUUGUUUUUAGUAUUUUCUGCCCCAGGCACAGAGGGUAGAUGACACUUCUUGGCCCCUGAUUGAUCUCAGCUUUGAUCUAUGGAAGGCCCUUCCUUUAUUUUGUAAAGAAGUAGCUGCUGUAGCCUAAGGGCAGACCAAAGGGCUGCUACCUCUGAGGUACAGUUUCCAGUUUCUCCAGGGCAGGAACCCGGAUGGCCAAGACUGGGACACAGGCCACAGGGUAGCCAUGAAACUGAGUUUAUAGAUCGACACAAAACCCUGAGGUGUGACGCUAUGGAACUAGGUCUCCAGACAGCCUUUAUAUCAGGAUUGACUUGAUCAGGUACAUGGCUUCCGAUACUCAAUCCUGUGGCAUGGUUAGAAAACAAGACAGGAGGCUGACCGACGCUGUUGGGUGCAUGUGGCCGGGAAAACCCUAAAUCUGGCAAACACAGGGGGAGAUCAACUACACCAACAAGAAGUGGGCUGUUGAGGAUGUUGAAUAUCCUGCAGAAGGGAUGCUGUCCCUCCAGUGCUCAAUGCAGAUGAUUCCGCCAUGGACUCCCAACAGUCUAAGAACACAAAGGACUGGUAGACCUUCACAAGGCCAGAAUGGUGGGGCUCUACCCUGCUACAGGGGAGGCCAAGAUCAAAGCCAAUGCACAAGGGCCAGGGCCAAAGGGAGGAGAGAGGCUCAGUCUGGAGUUUGUCAUUGAAAUUCUGCAGGUAGAGGUGCCUGAAGUUAGAACUACUCAUGGACCAAGGCCUGGCUCCAUCAAAGUGAAAAUGUGGGUCUCAUUGAAAAGCAGGAGCAAAGCGCCCGCCAUUCAAGGUGUUAGCAUGUAAUGCCUCGCUCUCUCCUGUGUGUCUCUGGACUUCCCAUGGUAUUUUUUUAUUUGC
RNAcentral lists this long non-coding RNA (1136 nucleotides) under Marmota monax (woodchuck). Lineage: Eukaryota; Metazoa; Chordata; Mammalia; Rodentia; Sciuridae. The record is from RNAcentral.